RNAcentral lists this long non-coding RNA (1167 nucleotides) under Equus caballus (horse). Its description in RNAcentral is "lncRNA (ENSECAG00000052502.1)". Lineage: Eukaryota; Metazoa; Chordata; Mammalia; Perissodactyla; Equidae. The record is from RNAcentral.
AUUUGUAUCCUGCUUAUUUUUCUGUGAGCAUUUCCCCGUCAGUCAAUGUUCUUCAAAAACACCAUUUUAAGUGGAUGCAUAUGCAAUUUUGUAUGGGCCAUUUGGAGAGCCACUAUUCAAAAGACUUACUCUCCCAUCCCUGACUAGACCUGUCAUUCCUCCUCCAUUAUGUUUUUCAGAAAUAAAAUAAAAUUCCAACCUCUUUGUCCUCAGAAGGAAAAGAAAAAAAGGAGACUUACUGGGUUUAACAUAACAGACACAGUAUGCUAGAGGUAGGAAUCCUCUUGGCUUUCUUGGCCAGCCUGGCCUGACUUCAGCCUUCCUGCCUCCCAUUCCUGCCUCUGCCUUCGCUCCUGGAUUGCAGCCAGAGAAGGAAGCAAAGACUGAGUCUCUCCUGAUGGGCAGCUUGAAAUCCUACUCUCUCCACCAGGCAACUCCAAGGGAAACAUAAGCAUUCCUGUUGAAUAGUUCUGCUGAGCUAAGAACUGCUAUUCAAAAUGGCUGCUGCCCUCACUCAUUGGCCAAACUGGAUAAGUGCUCUGGUCCCUCUGCAGUGCUUACUGUGAUGAGAUGCGUCUAUUAAGGGAUGAAAACUCCCACUGGUCAUCUUCUCCAUCAGUGAGCAGGGUUCUACGUUCCAUACCAGUUCUUGGCCUUUCUAAGGGAGAAUCUGGAGGAGAGGGAAAGAGGGGAUUACAAGAGGUUGAAACAUGAAGGAUGAGAAGCAGCCAGUCAUGUGAGGAGCAGAAGGUGGAGCAUCCCAGGCAGAAGGCACAGCAAAUGCCAAGUUUCUAACAUGACAAAGAAUUUAAUAAGUUUGAAUUUAACGUGAACUGACAGAAGACCAAUUUGGCUGGAGCGUAAGGUGAGGGGAAGGCUGGAAAGCUGGGAAAAGAAAGGAUCAUGGAGGAUCUAGGUAAGGAGUUUAGAUUUUAUUCUAAUUACAAUAGGAAGGCAUUGUGGAAUUCUGACUACAGAAAACACAAUCCAGUUUAAAAUACUGAAAGAUCACUCCGGGUCCCUCUGUAGAUUGGAUUGAAUUGAGCACAAGUGGAGAAAAGGGAAACAAUUAGGAAGACAUUGUAGUAGUCCAGGAGACAGACGAUGGUGACUGGUGACACUGGCAAUAAGGAUAAAUUGACAAAAUAUUUGUAAUUGAACUGACAG